This 394-nucleotide long non-coding RNA is filed under the name Linum usitatissimum (flax). RNAcentral describes it as "long non-coding RNA (LUSI_LNC003381)". Lineage: Eukaryota; Viridiplantae; Streptophyta; Magnoliopsida; Malpighiales; Linaceae. The record is from RNAcentral.
AUGGGAGGUGCAAGUGGAUUUCAGGAGUUGUGCAGAAAGAUGUUUACUUUGUGAAGACAAUCAAGUUUUUAUUUCUUUCUUUUCAAUGUGAUUUGGCAGAGUGAAUUUGGGUUUUCAAGUGAAUUAAGUUGUUUGGAUCGGGAUACCAGUUAAUUAUACGAUUCUAUUUUGUAAUCAGUGUUUAAAGAUCUUUGGUUUGGAUUAAGUUGUUCUUUUGCUUGUCUUGGUUGCCUUCUUGCCCGGUCCGGGUGGACAUUGAAAUCAACUAAACUGCGUAACCAACUCGGCCAACCCAAUUCCGCUGAGUUGAAUAGUUUUGGCUUGAUUUAGUUUAAGUACCAAAACAGACGUUUAAUGCACAUAGGGAGGCAAUUAAUCAUGUGUUUGGAUGAUC